GAUGAACGCUGGCGGCGUGCUUAACACAUGCAAGUCGAACGAAGCACUUUAUUUGAUUUCCUUCGGGACUGAUUAUUUUGUGACUGAGUGGCGGACGGGUGAGUAACGCGUGGGUAACCUGCCUUGUACAGGGGGAUAACAGUUGGAAACGGCUGCUAAUACCGCAUAAGCGCACGGCAUCGCAUGAUGCAGUGUGAAAAACUCCGGUGGUAUAAGAUGGACCGGCGUUGGAUUAGCUAGUUGGUGAGGUAACGGCCCACCAAGGCGACGAUCCAUAGCCGACCUGAGAGGGUGACCGGCCACAUUGGGACUGGGACACGGCCCAAACUCCUACGGGAGGCAGCAGUGGGGAAUAUUGCACAAUGGGCGAAAGCCUGAUGCAGCGACGCCGCGUGAGCGAAGAAGUAUUUCGGUAUGUAAAGCUCUAUCAGCAGGGAAGAUAAUGACGGUACCUGACUAAGAAGCACCGGCUAAAUACGUG
RNAcentral lists this ribosomal RNA (481 nucleotides) under uncultured bacterium. RNAcentral's name for it is "partial 16S ribosomal RNA". It matches the Rfam family "Bacterial small subunit ribosomal RNA", at positions 28 to 507 of the family's 1533-position model. The record is from RNAcentral.